CACCAUUGGCUCAACCACAGAUGGGGGCGGGACUAUUUGUUUGUCCAAACAAUGGAAACUGUUUCUGAAACACUGAAGAAGGGACCCGUACUCAACUGUUGUGGUGUGAUGUGGAGUCAGUGCAGUGGUCUCCUGUUGUGUGUGAGGUGUGAAAGGCACUGCACACUUCUUGAGGAGUUGAGGACAGAUUGAGUUCUGUACUGCUGAACAGCUGUCAUUCCCUGCUCACUGUCAAACAACAUACAGGGAUGCCUGGGGUUCUGACAGCUCUACCGCCAUCCACAACGUUUAUUUAUCUGAGGAGGAGAAAGGAAAGCUGGAGUGGAUGAUAGCUCAGCGUUGAUAUCUGUUCGGAGAGCGGCAGAGGGAACGAAAGAAUGGAAGGAGGAGGUGCAAAGAAGAGGAGGAGAUCUCCGUCUGACUCCCAAAAACCCCAAAAAACAUCCAUCCAAACCAUCGUAAGUAACUGGAUGUCCAGUCAACAGCUUUUCCACAGAUCAUCUUGUUUCUGAUAGCUUUGGAGCUGCAUACACACGAUGACUUGCAGAUCAGAUGUCUUGCGUUAGU
Molecule: long non-coding RNA, 567 nt
Organism: Labeo rohita (rohu)
Lineage: Eukaryota; Metazoa; Chordata; Actinopteri; Cypriniformes; Cyprinidae
Exons: 4
Source: RefSeq, a predicted model, not a curated record